UGUCAUCAGCGCCUUGCAGCCUCGGGAGCACGGGAAGCAACAUGUGCAGAUGCUAUUUUUCCACCAUGUGUGUGACCUGGAGGACUUGUCAGAUUUGGACAAGGCUCAGCAGAAGAGGCCCUGGCUUGGGAGUGAGCCAGAUGAGGCCCGGGGCAGGGAGGACUGAACUCAAACCGUGUCCAAGGCCCCGAGGAAGGGUCUGUACUGUCCAUUCCUCCCUCAUGCAUGAUGGGAAUUUGUAUCCCAGGAAGCUACAGUUACCUACCAUCAUUCCCAUUCAUGCUUUCGUCUCGUUUGUGGAAAAGCAGCCCCAAGAAGGCCCACAAAGCCGUGUGGAAGCCGCCCCAAACAUCCAGGAAGUAGUAUGGCUCUCCUGCAGACUUUUCCUUUCUGGUGACUUCUGCAGCUUCCUCAAACCAUAAAGUGACGUAAUAACACAGAAA
Long non-coding RNA from Oryctolagus cuniculus (rabbit), 443 nucleotides. RefSeq lists it as uncharacterized. NCBI's taxonomy places the organism in Eukaryota, Metazoa, Chordata, Mammalia, Lagomorpha, Leporidae. The record is from RefSeq and is a predicted model, not a curated record.